GGACAACCUACACACCGCCACCAGACACAGAACUCUCGACACACUAAGACCGACACACCAUCACAAGACACACCAUCUCCAAACUACACUACAUUCACGCUCGACCUGACACACUAUCACCGGAUAACACGACAUUCACGCCGGGCCUGACACACCUCGGGAACGCUGCGGCUGUUGUUGCAGCAUGGCCGUACCCACCCAACCUAGAGUUCGACUGGCCUUUACUUUCGAACUCCCCUUUCUAGUCUUUGAAGCUGAAGAUUACGUUGAAGAACCCGGUUCACUGAAGAGCAUUAUCCAGCCCUACCGCACCUCCUCUGAAAAUUGUAAUCAGCACUCCAUAAUUUUUAAGUUCUGAACACCAAAAGUUGAUAAAAUCAAAAAAAAACACAACAAAUCGACUACACUGUAACGUGACUUACAUUUUAUUUAAACAGACUUGUAACAAACAAAAAUGGAAUAUAUAAAAAAAAUAUAAAGAAUAGUUUCGAAAUUUGAAAAUUAGAAAAAUUGUAAAUUUAAAAAAAAAUUGAAAUUUUGAAAUAACUUAAGUAUAAAAAAAAUCAAAGGAAAAUACAAAAUUUCUCCUCAGAAGUAUAUAUGUACCUAGUGUACCUAAUCCAAAAACAAACAAAAAAAAACAGGGACUUUCUCCGUAUGGAGGAGACUUAAGUUCCCUUGUUCUCCCCGGAAAUCUAUGCCGUCUUCCUUUUAUGAAGCGGCUGUACCAAUUCCUCUUUUAUCCUACCUACCAAGAGCUCUCUAUAGGUAGCUUAAGGGAUGCAAAAUGUUGCCUCUACUUUGACAGGGAGGGGUAUGGGGAACCUACGCCGCCCCGACGAACUCUACCCGUAAUGCUUACUCGACACUAACAAAAAAUAACGACGCACUCUAGACACAUAUACCGAUACAAGGAGUUACAAAAUAAAGUCGUUAUAAAUUUGAAUAUUUGUUGUUUCAAUGUCACGUUACUAAUUUUUCCUUUGUUAUUUGUUGGACAGCUAGGUAUACGUAUAUAUCUGUAUAUAUAUAAGCAAAUCCUAGAGUCGAUUCGCCAGGAACCGAAUCCUUUUUUCCUAUCCCGCCGGAUUGGCGUAAAGGGUAACGAGAACGCACAAAGAGAUAUAUAUAUAUAUAUAUAUGUAUAUGUAGUUAACACUUAUAUGAAUAUAGGGGUGAGAUUGGUUUUGGCUAGUAAAGUUACUUGGUGAUCCGGGUCUAUCGACGGAUCAAUCUUAUGUUCAGCACAACCUCCACAUCACCUUGGGAAUGAAAUUUUCUUUCUCUAGGACCGUCGCUCACUCCUACGCCAACCACCGCGCCGGCCGCCAAAACUCAAUCUCACUACAAUAUGUAUUUAUGAUUUUUUGUAUUUGUUCCUAUUAUAAUAUAACUAAAAGUAUCACUCACCCUCAGCUAUUAUUUUAAAUUUUUUUCCUCUUUAUGAAUUUAUCUUCUUUCUUUCUUCACUGAACAUACAUAUAUUAAUCGUUAAAAAAAACUUAUACAAAAAGACCUUUAAGAAAGAUAAAUUUAAUUUAAAUUCUUAACGCGUUAGACGGACAACGAACCUAUUUCCUUUUUUUUCUUACGUUUUUUUUUCACUUCUUUUGUUUUAUGCCACUUUUAAAUUUAAAUACAUACAUAGAUGCUUUCGUCACCCACUCUGAACUACAAAUGACUUCUAGUCAAGUUCCUUUAGCGGUUACGAUCUUCAAUUACCGCAAAGUUUAUUAUUUCCCGCAAUGUUCACAAAACUACUCUUUCAGCAUCGUCUGGACCCUUGCUUUAAAGCUUAAUUUCACUCCUAUCUAAUCCUUUCUUAUUUUCCCCACCUUUCCCAAUUCGCAUUAAACUUUUCAUUAAAUAUUUAAUAUUGUGGGUAUUGUCGUUCCUUUCAUACCUAUAAACAUAUAUCCGUCGCUUCUGCAAUUUCUUCGUCCUCCUUUUAUACCAUCUUCUUAAUCCCUAUUCUUUACUUCUGUCUCUUUUUCAUGACAUAUGUCUAUUUCGUCCCUAAUUGUCAUGUCAGAUUGUCAGUGAUUAGAAUUUGGAAAUAGAAGUUGCGUGCGCGGGUAGAUAAAUAAACAUAAAAAGAACAAGUCCUAGCAGAAACACCAAACUAAAAAAAAAUAAAAAAACUAAUUGGACUGGAUGCAAACCAGUCACUAGGAAUAGUGACUAACCUAGAACAACUCUGGCCUAUCGGUGGCCACAACAAAACUCCGGCAUCAGAAGUGCCGAUAUUUUCACAAGGAUGACGGUGAAGGCCGACGGCUGGUCGUAUCGAUUUAAUUGUGAAGGACCUAUGCCAAUCUAAUGCGAGUGCCAUUGCAUGUGGUGAAGUGCCUAAUCUGCUUAAGCCGGGCGGAGCAAAUGCAUUUCCUCCUUGUUGGUUUUGAGUGGGGAAGAACCCACACUGUUUGAGCCGGGCGGAAGAAAUAUGAUUCUUUCAAGCUGGUAUCAGGUGGGGAAGAACCCUCGAACAUUCAGCCGGGCAAAACAAGGCUACAACUAAAUUUCAGAGAAGAUUUAAACAUAAAUUAAAAUUCUUGGUACAGA
This is a long non-coding RNA of Eupeodes corollae, 2562 nucleotides long. RefSeq lists it as uncharacterized. The record is from RefSeq and is a predicted model, not a curated record. The transcript has 2 exons. Lineage: Eukaryota; Metazoa; Arthropoda; Insecta; Diptera; Syrphidae.